This 1234-nucleotide long non-coding RNA is filed under the name Ursus maritimus (polar bear). RNAcentral's name for it is "lncRNA (ENSUMAG00000014941.1)". The record is from RNAcentral. Lineage: Eukaryota; Metazoa; Chordata; Mammalia; Carnivora; Ursidae.
AUGAAUGGUAAGGAAUCUGUGAGGUGCAUUAGACCCAAAGACCUUUGGAAUUUGUUGAAAGACAACUCAGUUUCCAUGAGAAACAAAGUACAAAGAUUGGCUUUUUUCUCAUCAGAGCCCGGCAGAGCUGGAAGGGACCUCAGAGAUGAACUCGUCCAACCUACUCAUUUUACAGAUGAAGAGAAUCCAUUAGAAUUUGACUUUAUUUCUGGGUUUGUUUCAAGUCGUUUAAGCAAGAAGAGGCCGGUUAUGAUAAGGCAGCCCAUUGUGCAGUGCAGAUAUAUCUGGAAAAACCCUGGGUUGUAUCAUGAAUGCGAACCAUGGCAAAAAGCUAACCCAGACCAAGAGCCUGAUAGAACUCAUUUAGCUCCUAAGGCCUUCCUGCUUUGAUCAUUGCCUGCGAUGAUGUGACAUUUGGAGCUGCAGCAGUCAUUUUGUGACCUAAGGUGACAAGCCUGAGGACAAAAAGCUCACACAUUGAAGGUAACAGAAUGGAAUGAGAGAAAGGAUAUGGCUUUUUAAUGAUAUAAUUGAGCAGCCAGACUAACCCUAGUAUUGUCUACCCUCAGAUCUCUUGGUGAGAAAAGUAAAUACUUCUCUUGUUUCAGUUCUUUAAGUUGGAUAUUCUGUUACUCAUAGUCCCCCAAAUCCAAGUUCAUAAGCCCUGUGACCUUGAACACAUUCCCGUAUUAACUAUUCUCUGCCUAGGUGCCUUCAUUGGUAAAAUAGAGAUUAAUACACGCACACAUUUUUACAAAAUUAUACAUACUCAUUUGUAUUCUAUUUCUGUCCUAUACCAUUCUAUCAUGACAUUCUCCAGUGUUCUUCAGAAUAUUUCUAAAAGCUCCAUCUUUAAUGGCUAUGGAGAUGUUUGUCAUAUGUUUCUCUCAAACACCCCUAUUGUUGGGCAUUUACAUUGUUAGCAAAUGUUUUUUUGUAUAAGGAAAUGCUGCAAUGAAGCCUCCUUUUACAUUAAGUUUUGUACCUUCACUUCUUUUUUGAGAAUUGAUUUCUAGAACUGGAAAUCCUGUGUCGCAUGUGUAGGGCUUAUGAUAUCAAAGCCACACUGUCUCCCCUCUGUCUUGCACAGACUUACCCUUGCUAUUAAAAGUGUACAUGAGGUGCACCUGGCUGGCUCAGUCGGUGGAACAUGCUACUCUUGAUCUUGGGGUUGUGAGUUCAAGCCCCAUAUUGGCUGUAGAGCUUACUUUAAAUAAAUAAAUAAAUAAAUACA